Molecule: ribozyme, 117 nt
Filed under: Aedes aegypti (yellow fever mosquito)
Lineage: Eukaryota; Metazoa; Arthropoda; Insecta; Diptera; Culicidae
Description: drz-agam-1 ribozyme
Rfam family: drz-agam-1 ribozyme
Source: Rfam by way of RNAcentral
UGCCCAGCAACUCCUAUCCCUACCUCCUCGCGGUACUGGUCGGGGUACGAGUAACCUUAGAGAAGAUCGGGUAACCAACCCCCAAUGGGAACUUUGGUCGUAUGCUGACAGGGAAGG